Molecule: unclassified non-coding RNA, 220 nt
Filed under: plant metagenome
Description: partial contains small subunit ribosomal RNA, internal transcribed spacer 1, and 5.8S ribosomal RNA
Source: RNAcentral
UUUCCGUAGGUGAACCUGCGGAAGGAUCACUACAGAGUUCAUGCCCUCACGGGUAGAUCUCCCACCCUUGAAUAUUUAUACCUUAGUUGCCUUGGCAGGCCGUGGAAACACCAUGGGCUCCGGCUUAUGCGUGCCUGCCAGAGGAAACAAACUCUGUUUUUAGCGAUGUCUGAGUACUAUAUAAUAGUUAAAACUUUCAACAACGGAUCUCUUGGUUCUG